CCUACGGGAGGCAGCAGUGAGGAAUAUUGGUCAAUGGACGAGAGUCUGAACCAACCAAGUAGCGUGAAGGAUGACUGCCCUAUGGGUUGUAAACUUCUUUUAUAUGGGAAUAAAAUGUUCCACGUGUGGGAUUUUGUAUGUACCAUAUGAAUAAGGAUCGGCUAACUCCGUGCCAGCAGCCGCGGUAAUACGGAGGAUCCGAGCGUUAUCCGGAUUUAUUGGGUUUAAAGGGAGCGUAGGUGGAUUGUUAAGUCAGUUGUGAAAGUUUGCGGCGCAACCGUAAAAUUGCAGUUGAAACUGGCAGUCUUGAGUACAGUAGAGGUGGGCGGAAUUCGUGGUGUAGCGGUGAAAUGCUUAGAUAUCACGAAGAACUCCGAUUGCGAAGGCAGUUCACUGGACUGCAACUGACACUGAGGCUCGAAAGUGUGGGUAUCAAACAGGAUUAGAUACCCCAGUAGUC
RNAcentral lists this ribosomal RNA (460 nucleotides) under uncultured bacterium. Its description in RNAcentral is "partial 16S ribosomal RNA". It matches the Rfam family "Bacterial small subunit ribosomal RNA", at positions 338 to 795 of the family's 1533-position model. The record is from RNAcentral.